UGAAUCCUGAUGUGUACGUUAGUUUUACUAUCUGUUUUGACCGAACGCUGUAUGUUUAGGGAGUCCGGGUUUUUUGGACAGCGCACAUGCCCUUAGCGGGGACUUGCAACGCCUGAAGCAGGGCACCCACCUGCGAUGAGCGGGUUCAAAACAUAUAAUCUCACACGACGGCACGAUUGGGAUUCGC
Molecule: non-coding RNA, 187 nt
Organism: Domibacillus antri
Lineage: Bacteria; Bacillati; Bacillota; Bacilli; Caryophanales; Bacillaceae
Source: Rfam